GCACAUGACCAGAUCACCUGGAAUGCACCUGGUCUCAUCAGAUCUUGGAAGCUAAGCAGAGUUGAGCCUGGCUAGUGCUUGGAUGGGUGACCACUAUAUAAAUCGUGGGGUUGUAGGCU
RNAcentral lists this ribosomal RNA (119 nucleotides) under Petromyzon marinus (sea lamprey). Lineage: Eukaryota; Metazoa; Chordata; Hyperoartia; Petromyzontiformes; Petromyzontidae. The record is from RNAcentral.